RNAcentral lists this ribosomal RNA (258 nucleotides) under uncultured prokaryote. Its description in RNAcentral is "partial 16S ribosomal RNA". It matches the Rfam family "Bacterial small subunit ribosomal RNA", at positions 524 to 782 of the family's 1533-position model. The record is from RNAcentral.
UACGGAGGAUCCGAGCGUUAUCCGGAAUUAUUGGGUUUAAGGGUGCGUAGGCGGCCAUUUAAGUCAGCGGUGAAAUUUUGCAGCUUAACUGUAACAGUGCCGUUGAUACUGGGGAGCUAGGAUUUGGUUGCUGUGGGUGGAAUGUGUGGUGUAGCGGUGAAAUGCUUAGAGAUCACACAGAAUAUCGAUUGCGAAGGCAGCUCACAAAGCCAAGAUUGACGCUGAGGCACGAAAGUGUGGGGAUCAAACAGGAUUAGA